This is a ribosomal RNA of Pteropus vampyrus (large flying fox), 119 nucleotides long. The record is from Ensembl. Lineage: Eukaryota; Metazoa; Chordata; Mammalia; Chiroptera; Pteropodidae.
GUCUAUGGCCAUGACACUCUGAACAAACCCAUUCCCAUCUGAUCUCAGAAGCUAAGCAGUGUUGAGCCUGGUUAGUACUUGGAUGGAAGACCACCUAGGAAGACCAAGUGCUGUAGGUG